RNAcentral lists this ribosomal RNA (774 nucleotides) under uncultured Neocallimastigales. RNAcentral's name for it is "partial large subunit ribosomal RNA". It matches the Rfam family "Eukaryotic large subunit ribosomal RNA", at positions 26 to 633 of the family's 3401-position model. Lineage: Eukaryota; Fungi; Neocallimastigomycota; Neocallimastigomycetes; Neocallimastigales. The record is from RNAcentral.
CGCAUCUGUGCAUGCAGCAUAUCAAUAAGCGGAGGAAAAGAAACUAACAAGGAUUCCCCUAGUAACGGCGAGUGAAGCGGGAAGAGCUCAAAUUUGAAAUCUUAAAGGGUUUCCCUUUACGAAUUGUAGUUUAAAGAAGUGUUUUCUGUUGAGGUUUUGGUAAAAGUUCUUUGGAAUAGGACAUCAUAGAGGGUGAGAAUCCCGUAUUUGACCUUUACUUUCAACUUUGUGAUACACUUUCAAAGAGUCGGAUUGUUUGGGAAUGCAGUCCAAAAUGGGUGGUAAAUUUCAUCUAAAGCUAAAUAUUGGCGAGAGACCGACAGCGAACAAGUACCGUGAGGGAAAGAUGAAAUGAACUUUGAAAAGAGAGUUAAACAGUACGUGAAAUUGUCAAAAGGGAAGCGUUUGACACCAGUGUUGUUUUUCUGAAAAUCAAUUAAAGAACUGUUUAUGCUAAGUUGUUUAGACUUUAUCAGCUAUCUGUUUAGUUUUGAGCUUUUCUUUAAUGCACUUUUCAGUUAACAAGUCAACAUCAAUUUCUUUUGCUGUAAAAAAGCUUGAGGAAGGUGGCUUGAGAUUCGUCUUAAGUGUUUAUAGCCUCUUGCCUAUGCAGUCGGAGAGAUUGAGGUCUGCAGCGUAGAUCCUUCGGGGCUAAAUGCAUUUGUGCUAAGUUAUAACAUUUUAUAGACAACUUGUUGACUAUGAUUUGUCUUGUAGCUUACUCGCUUAUGUUAUUUUACCUACGCUUAGGAUGUUGAACGCGCACAGAGUCUC